Molecule: ribosomal RNA, 465 nt
Filed under: uncultured beta proteobacterium
Lineage: Bacteria; Pseudomonadati; Pseudomonadota; Betaproteobacteria
Description: bacterial SSU rRNA
Rfam family: Bacterial small subunit ribosomal RNA
Source: RNAcentral
GGAGGAAAGCAGGGGAUCGCAAGACCUUGCGCUCUUGGAGCGGCCGAUGCCUGAUUAGCUAGUUGGUGAGGUAAAGGCUUACCAAGGCGACGAUCAGUAGCUGGUCUGAGGGGACGACCAGCCACACUGGGACUGAGACACGGCCCAGACUCCUACGGGAGGCAGCAGUGGGGAAUUUUGGACAAUGGGGGAAACCCUGAUCCAGCCAUGCCGCGUGAGUGAAGAAGGCCUUCGGGUUGUAAAGCUCUUUCAGCCGGAACGAAACGGUCACGGCUAAUACCUGUGACUACUGGCGGUACCGGAAGAAGAAGCACCGGCUAACUACGUGCCAGCAGCCGCGGUAAUACGUAGGGUGCAAGCGUUAAUCGGAAUUACUGGGCGUAAAGCGUGCGCAGGCGGUUUUGUAAGUCAGAUGUGAAAUCCCCGGGCUUAACCUGGGAACUGCGUUUGAAACUACAAAGCUAG